Long non-coding RNA from Gorilla gorilla gorilla (western lowland gorilla), 295 nucleotides. RefSeq lists it as uncharacterized. Lineage: Eukaryota; Metazoa; Chordata; Mammalia; Primates; Hominidae. The record is from RefSeq and is a predicted model, not a curated record. The transcript has 3 exons.
UGCUGAUUACCAUGACCGUGACAUGGCUUUGAAAAGCACAUCUCAUCACUGCCUGGUGACUCCUUUCAGAGGCUCCCCCAGGGCAGGUUGUUUUGCAACCAGACAAUGAAAUCCAAAUUUACUAGGGACAUGGAUGAAGCUGGAGACCAUCAUUCUCAGCAAACUAACACAAGAACAGAAAACCAAACACCACAUGUUCUCACUGGGAUUUCAAGACACAUUUGAUAUCUUACAGAGCUGAUAGCUGCCGUGCAUAGGGGAAAUAAAUGAGAGGAAUAUGUCUGCAUAGUGGGGG